This is a long non-coding RNA of Haliotis rubra (blacklip abalone), 456 nucleotides long. RefSeq lists it as uncharacterized. The transcript is spliced from 3 exons. The record is from RefSeq and is a predicted model, not a curated record. Lineage: Eukaryota; Metazoa; Mollusca; Gastropoda; Lepetellida; Haliotidae.
CAGAGACCUGGCCGUACAGCCAGGAUUACUCACUAUUUGGUCUCACUAUACCAGAAGAAGGAUCUUCUCAGCACCGCCAAGAAAAAGUAUGGAACUGAAGAACAUGAAUUUGAGAACCUAAGUCGUGGUUAUUACAUUGUCCAGGUGGAACCAAAGACGGUGAAUAACACGAGCCCAUGUGGAAAGACAGUUUACAAGGGCAUUCAACUGAUUUAUUUGGGUGACUACAGUGUGUGAGUGAGGACACGAAUGACAAGAGCGAAUGCCUUCUGAUGGGGACACCUACAUGUAGAUCUCAAUGCUCAGUGUCAAAUUUUGAAUGCGGUACUUCCCAGAUCCCAGUGUCUGAUACUACUAAGAAUGUUGGUGUGAUUCUCGAUCCAGAGCUUUCACUCGAUCACCAUGUCACCAAUCUGAUAAAAAGCUGAUUCUUUCAUCUGAGAAAUAUCGGGAACA